UGCUUUUGUUGUUGUUUAGUCGUUUAGUCGUGUCCAACUCUUCGUGACCCCCUGGACCAGAGCACGCCAGGCACUCCUGUCUUCCACUGCCUCCCGCAGUUUGGUCAAACUCAUGCUGGUAGCUUCGAGAACACUGUCCCACCAUCUCGUCCUCUGUCGUCCCCUUCUCCUUGCGCCCUCCAUCUUUCCCAACAUCAGGGUCUUUUCCAGGGAGUCUUCUCUUCUCCUGAGGUGGCCAAAGUCUUGGAGCCUCAGCUUCAGGAUCUGCCCUUCCAGUGAGCA
Molecule: long non-coding RNA, 282 nt
Filed under: Podarcis lilfordi (Lilford's wall lizard)
Lineage: Eukaryota; Metazoa; Chordata; Lepidosauria; Squamata; Lacertidae
Source: RNAcentral